AGAGUUUGAUCCUGGCUCAGGAUGAACGCUAGCGGCAGGCUUAACACAUGCAAGUCGAGGGGUAUAGUUCUUCGGAAUUAGAGACCGGCGCACGGGUGCGUAACGCGUAUGCAAUCUACCUUUUGCAGAGGGAUAGCCCAGAGAAAUUUGGAUUAAUACCUCAUAGUAUAGCACAACCGCAUGGUUGAGUUAUUAAAGUCACAACGGCAAAAGAUGAGCAUGCGUCCCAUUAGCUAGUUGGUAAGGUAACGGCUUACCAAGGCAACGAUGGGUAGGGGUCCUGAGAGGGAGAUCCCCCACACUGGUACUGAGACACGGACCAGACUCCUACGGGAGGCAGCAGUGAGGAAUAUUGGUCAAUGGGCGCAAGCCUGAACCAGCCAUGCCGCGUGCAGGAUGACGGUCCUAUGGAUUGUAAACUGCUUUUGUACGAGAAGAAACACUACUUCGUGAAGUAGCUUGACGGUAUCGUAAGAAUAAGGAUCGGCUAACUCCGUGCCAGCCGCCGCGGUAAUUC
Molecule: ribosomal RNA, 517 nt
Filed under: uncultured bacterium
Lineage: Bacteria
Description: bacterial SSU rRNA
Rfam family: Bacterial small subunit ribosomal RNA
Source: RNAcentral